UCACCUAUGUGACAACAUAUGGGCAACAAAUACGAAGAAGAAAGGGAACAAAGAUGGAAAUUGUGCAGGAUCCCAACCUUUAAAACACCGAUAAGAAGUGAAGUCCUUCUCCUUCCUCUUCCCCUUCAAGGAGCACUGAAUAAGCUUCCAGGAUGGACUAAGCCUAACGGAGCCCAUGCCCCCAUGUGUCUCUGUCCACUGGGAUGAGCUGAUCCUAACCUGUGUUGGCACUUGUCUCUGCCGCCCGUUGUUAGCAAGAAAAGAGUUGGACCAAAGUCACAGUAAGAACAUUCCUGGCUUGGAAGAUCAGAACUCCAGAGAUUCAACUCCUGAGGCAGAGAUUCUCCCUGGAUGUUGCUGCGUGGGCUGAGAUUUCUGAAAGAAGAGAUUACCAGUUGUGAUGAUCUGUUCCAGAACAGGUAUCUGUAUACAUUUGCAAGGUUUCUCUGAGCCUUCUCUUCUCCAGACUGAACAGCCCCAGCUCUCUCAGCUUUUCCUCACAGGGAGAGUUCCAUGCAUUCCAGGAGCAUUAUCACAUUAAGGACAACCCUCACUCCUUGUCUUCCCUUCCUGUCAUUCCUAUAGAGCCUGCAUCCCUCCCUUGCAACACUCCACUCCUGGGAGACAUCCACCAUGCCUCCAUGAUCCCAAGAAGAUAAUAGCUCUGCAAACUGAAUUCAGAUCUCUAACACGCCAUGUUUGUUCCCCAUACUAACUGCAUUAGCACAUGGGCAGCACCAGUUCUGCAGCCAAUUAUUAACUUGUUCUAUUAGUGCCCUUCUCCUCACACCAUUUCCCCUCAGUGGCAGAAUUGAGGAGACCAGCUGGGUCCUCAUGGCCUUGACAACUGCCUACAGAGUUUUGUGGUCACUUUUGAUACUUUUAUGACUCUCAGUAAUUUUGUGGUCAUGACUUCAAUCUUUCCGUCUUUCCCUCUGUAUGGAUCUCACUUAUCUGUUGUGUUGGAUAUGGCAAUCGUUGUAAAAGUAACUUAUUUUUAAAAACUAAUGUCUUUUCCCUUGAUGUUAAAUCCAAGGUCAAGAGCAGAUUAUGAUCUAUAGAGAGCAUUUUUAGUCUUAAAUUGGAGUUUCUUGGAAAUACUUGGCAACUUCUUGCUUUAUAGUUUAGCAAUUUGUGGCAAAGCCAUUUCUACCAACAUUUCAAUUUUACACAGGUCAUCAUUGUAAGUACAGGGAGAAACCAUCAGUGUGACAACUUCCCAAAAUCCUUCUGUGUAAUCCAAUGAAAAAUGUUAAUUAGUCUUGCAAAGUCUAAUUCCUUUUAUAGUAUAAUUUUCAAGCUUCACAACCUAGUGCUUUAUACUUUCAACUAACGCUUCUGUGGUACUUUAAAGUAUGUUAGGAUGAGGGAGCUGCCUAUAAAAAUCUUUUCUCAUGCACCCUAUUAUACUUCUACUUUUAAGUUGUCAAAGUUA
This is a long non-coding RNA of Corvus hawaiiensis (hawaiian crow), 1435 nucleotides long. RefSeq lists it as uncharacterized. NCBI's taxonomy places the organism in Eukaryota, Metazoa, Chordata, Aves, Passeriformes, Corvidae. The record is from RefSeq and is a predicted model, not a curated record. The transcript has 7 exons.